RNAcentral lists this small RNA (125 nucleotides) under Marmota monax (woodchuck). Lineage: Eukaryota; Metazoa; Chordata; Mammalia; Rodentia; Sciuridae. The record is from RNAcentral.
GCCAGGCACGGUGGCGCAUGCCUGUAAUCCUAGUGACUCUGGAGGCUGAAGCAGGAGGAUCACUAAUUCAAAGCCAGCCUCAGCAAAAGUGAGGCACUAAGCAACUCAGGGAGACCCAGUCUCUA